UAGGGAAUUUUCGUCAAUGGGCGCAAGCCUGAACGAGCAAUGCCGCGUGAACGAGGAAGGUCUUCGGAUCGUAAAGUUCUGUUGAGAGGGAAAAAGGGUCACCAGAGGAAAUGCUGGUGAAGUGAUAUUACCUUUCGAGGAA
Molecule: ribosomal RNA, 142 nt
Filed under: uncultured bacterium
Lineage: Bacteria
Description: partial 16S ribosomal RNA
Rfam family: Bacterial small subunit ribosomal RNA
Source: RNAcentral